GUCCUCCUGUAGUUCCUGAGGGUGACGACGGGGUGUUCGUGCACGUGUGACAUGUGCCACCCUCGAACCUCAUUACAUCAGCACAUCACCCACUGACC
Molecule: small nucleolar RNA, 98 nt
Filed under: Nomascus leucogenys (northern white-cheeked gibbon)
Lineage: Eukaryota; Metazoa; Chordata; Mammalia; Primates; Hylobatidae
Description: Small nucleolar RNA U13
Rfam family: Small nucleolar RNA U13
Source: Rfam by way of RNAcentral